RNAcentral lists this ribosomal RNA (376 nucleotides) under uncultured bacterium. RNAcentral's name for it is "bacterial SSU rRNA". It matches the Rfam family "Bacterial small subunit ribosomal RNA", at positions 521 to 898 of the family's 1533-position model. The record is from RNAcentral.
UAAUACGUAGGGGGCAAGCGUUGUCCGGAAUCACUGGGCGUAAAGCGUGCGUAGGCGGUUGUGUAAGUCUGAAGUGAAAGUCCAAGGCUCAACCUUGGGAUUGCUUUGGAAACUGCACGACUUGAGUGCUGGAGAGGCAAGGGGAAUUCCACGUGUAGCGGUGAAAUGCGUAGAUAUGUGGAGGAAUACCAGUGGCGAAGGCGCCUUGCUGGACAGUGACUGACGCUGAGGCACGAAAGCGUGGGGAGCAAACAGGAUUAGAUACCCUGGUAGUCCACGCCGUAAACGAUGAGUGCUAGGUGUUGGGGGGACACACCCCAGUGCCGAAGGAAACCCAAUAAGCACUCCACCUGGGGAGUACGGUCGCAAGACUGAA